RNAcentral lists this ribosomal RNA (2906 nucleotides) under Pantoea dispersa. Its description in RNAcentral is "23S ribosomal RNA". It matches the Rfam family "Bacterial large subunit ribosomal RNA". Lineage: Bacteria; Pseudomonadati; Pseudomonadota; Gammaproteobacteria; Enterobacterales; Erwiniaceae. The record is from RNAcentral.
GGUUAAGCGACUAAGCGUACACGGUGGAUGCCCUGGCAGUCAGAGGCGAUGAAGGACGUGCUAAUCUGCGAAAAGCGACGGUAAGGUGAUAUGAACCGCUACAGCCGUCGAUGUCCGAAUGGGGAAACCCGGUGCACUCUGUGCAUCAUCGUUAACUGAAUACAUAGGUUAACGAGGCGAACCGGGGGAACUGAAACAUCUAAGUACCCCGAGGAAAAGAAAUCAACCGAGAUUCCCCCAGUAGCGGCGAGCGAACGGGGAGCAGCCCAGGACCUGAAUCAGCUUGUGCAUCAGUGGAAGCGUCUGGAAAGUCGCGCGAUACCGGGUGACAGCCCCGUACACGAAGAUGCACAGGUUGUGAGUCCGACGAGUAGGGCGGGACACGUGGUAUCCUGUCUGAACAUGGGGGGACCAUCCUCCAAGGCUAAAUACUCCUGACUGACCGAUAGUGAACCAGUACCGUGAGGGAAAGGCGAAAAGAACCCCGGCGAGGGGAGUGAAACAGAACCUGAAACCGUGUACGUACAAGCAGUGGGAGCACCUUCAGGGUGUGACUGCGUACCUUUUGUAUAAUGGGUCAGCGACUUAUAUUCUGUAGCAAGGUUAACCGCAUAGGGGAGCCGAAGGGAAACCGAGUCUUAAUUGGGCGUUAAGUUGCAGGGUAUAGACCCGAAACCCGGUGAUCUAGCCAUGGGCAGGUUGAAGGUUGGGUAACACUAACUGGAGGACCGAACCGACUAAUGUUGAAAAAUUAGCGGAUGACUUGUGGCUGGGGGUGAAAGGCCAAUCAAACCGGGAGAUAGCUGGUUCUCCCCGAAAGCUAUUUAGGUAGCGCCUCGUGAACUCAUCUCCGGGGGUAGAGCACUGUUUCGGCUAGGGGGCCAUCCCGGCUUACCAACCCGAUGCAAACUGCGAAUACCGGAGAAUGUUAUCACGGGAGACACACGGCGGGUGCUAACGUCCGUCGUGAAGAGGGAAACAACCCAGACCGCCAGCUAAGGUCCCAAAGUCAUGGUUAAGUGGGAAACGAUGUGGGAAGGCACAGACAGCCAGGAUGUUGGCUUAGAAGCAGCCAUCAUUUAAAGAAAGCGUAAUAGCUCACUGGUCGAGUCGGCCUGCGCGGAAGAUGUAACGGGGCUAAACCAUGCACCGAAGCUGCGGCAGCGACAUGUAAAUGUUGUUGGGUAGGGGAGCGUUCUGUAAGCCGCUGAAGGUGUGCUGUGAGGCAUGCUGGAGGUAUCAGAAGUGCGAAUGCUGACAUAAGUAACGAUAAAGCGGGUGAAAAGCCCGCUCGCCGGAAGACCAAGGGUUCCUGUCCAACGUUAAUCGGGGCAGGGUGAGUCGACCCCUAAGGCGAGGCUGAAAAGCGUAGUCGAUGGGAAACAGGUUAAUAUUCCUGUACUUGGUGUUACUGCGAAGGGGGGACGGAGAAGGCUAGGUUAUCCGGGCGACGGUUGUCCCGGUUUAAGCGUGCAGGUGUGAAGACCAGGCAAAUCCGGUCUUCUUUAACACUGAGGCGUGACGACGAGCCGCUACGGCGGUGAAGUAACUGAUGCCCUGCUUCCAGGAAAAGCCUCUAAGCUCCAGGUAACACGAAAUCGUACCCCAAACCGACACAGGUGGUCAGGUAGAGAAUACCAAGGCGCUUGAGAGAACUCGGGUGAAGGAACUAGGCAAAAUGGUGCCGUAACUUCGGGAGAAGGCACGCUGGCGCGUAGGUGAGGGGACUUGCUCCCGGAGCCGAGGCCAGUCGAAGAUACCAGCUGGCUGCAACUGUUUAUUAAAAACACAGCACUGUGCAAACACGAAAGUGGACGUAUACGGUGUGACGCCUGCCCGGUGCCGGAAGGUUAAUUGAUGGGGUUAUCCGCAAGGAGAAGCUCUUGAUCGAAGCCCCGGUAAACGGCGGCCGUAACUAUAACGGUCCUAAGGUAGCGAAAUUCCUUGUCGGGUAAGUUCCGACCUGCACGAAUGGCGUAAUGAUGGCCAGGCUGUCUCCACCCGAGACUCAGUGAAAUUGAAAUCGCUGUGAAGAUGCAGUGUACCCGCGGCAAGACGGAAAGACCCCGUGAACCUUUACUAUAGCUUGACACUGAACAUUGAGCCUUGAUGUGUAGGAUAGGUGGGAGGCUUUGAAGCGCGGACGCCAGUCUGCGUGGAGCCAACCUUGAAAUACCACCCUUUAAUGUUUGAUGUUCUAACGUAGGCCCGUAAUCCGGGCUGCGGACAGUGUCUGGUGGGUAGUUUGACUGGGGCGGUCUCCUCCCAAAGCGUAACGGAGGAGCACGAAGGUUGGCUAAUCCUGGUCGGACAUCAGGAGGUUAGUGCAAUGGCAUAAGCCAGCUUGACUGCGAGAGUGACGGCUCGAGCAGGUGCGAAAGCAGGUCAUAGUGAUCCGGUGGUUCUGAAUGGAAGGGCCAUCGCUCAACGGAUAAAAGGUACUCCGGGGAUAACAGGCUGAUACCGCCCAAGAGUUCAUAUCGACGGCGGUGUUUGGCACCUCGAUGUCGGCUCAUCACAUCCUGGGGCUGAAGUAGGUCCCAAGGGUACGGCUGUUCGCCGUUUAAAGUGGUACGCGAGCUGGGUUUAGAACGUCGUGAGACAGUUCGGUCCCUAUCUGCCGUGGGCGCUGGAGAAUUGAGGGGGGUUGCUCCUAGUACGAGAGGACCGGAGUGAACGCACCGCUGGUGUUCGGGUUGUCAUGCCAAUGGCACUGCCCGGUAGCUAAGUGCGGAAGAGAUAAGUGCUGAAAGCAUCUAAGCACGAAACUUGCCCCGAGAUGAGUUCUCCCUGACCCCUUGAGGGUCCUGAAGGGACGUUGAAGACGACGACGUUGAUAGGCCGGGUGUGUAAGCGCAGCGAUGCGUUGAGCUAACCGGUACUAAUGACCCGUGAGGCUUAACCUU